This 615-nucleotide ribosomal RNA is filed under the name uncultured Vibrio sp. RNAcentral describes it as "bacterial SSU rRNA". It matches the Rfam family "Bacterial small subunit ribosomal RNA", at positions 143 to 753 of the family's 1533-position model. The record is from RNAcentral. Lineage: Bacteria; Pseudomonadati; Pseudomonadota; Gammaproteobacteria; Vibrionales; Vibrionaceae.
AUAACUAUUGGAAACGAUGGCUAAUACCGCAUAAUACCUACGGGUCAAAGAGGGGGACCUUCGGGCCUCUCGCGUCAGGAUAUGCCUAGGUGGGAUUAGCUAGUUGGUGAGGUAAUGGCUCACCAAGGCGACGAUCCCUAGCUGGUCUGAGAGGAUGAUCAGCCACACUGGAACUGAGACACGGUCCAGACUCCUACGGGAGGCAGCAGUGGGGAAUAUUGCACAAUGGGCGCAAGCCUGAUGCAGCCAUGCCGCGUGUAUGAAGAAGGCCUUCGGGUUGUAAAGUACUUUCAGCAGUGAGGAAGGUGGUAGUGUUAAUAGCACUAUUAUUUGACGUUAGCUGCAGAAGAAGCACCGGCUAACUCCGUGCCAGCAGCCGCGGUAAUACGGAGGGUGCGAGCGUUAAUCGGAAUUACUGGGCGUAAAGCGCAUGCAGGUGGUUUGUUAAGUCAGAUGUGAAAGCCCGGGGCUCAACCUCGGAAUAGCAUUUGAAACUGGCAGACUAGAGUACUGUAGAGGGGGGUAGAAUUUCAGGUGUAGCGGUGAAAUGCGUAGAGAUCUGAAGGAAUACCGGUGGCGAAGGCGGCCCCCUGGACAGAUACUGACACUCAGAUG